UACGGAGGGUGCAAGCGUUGUCCGGAUUUAUUGGGUUUAAAGGGUGCGUAGGUGGCCUUAUAAGUCAGCGGUGAAAGUCUGCAGCUUAACUGUAGAACUGCCAUUGAUACUGUAAGGCUUGAGUACUGAUGAGGUAGGCGGAAUUGAUAGUGUAGCGGUGAAAUGCAUAGAUAUUAUCAAGAACACCGAUUGCGAAGGCAGCUUACUAAGGAGUUACUGACACUGAGGCACGAAAGCGUGGGGAUCAAACAGGAUUAGAUACCCUGGUAGUCCACGCCAUAAACGAUGAUUACUCGAUGUAUGCGAUAGACUGUAUGCGUCCAAGCGAAAGCGUUAAGUAAUCCACCUGGGGAGUACGACCGCAAGGUUGAA
RNAcentral lists this ribosomal RNA (372 nucleotides) under uncultured bacterium. RNAcentral's name for it is "bacterial SSU rRNA". It matches the Rfam family "Bacterial small subunit ribosomal RNA", at positions 524 to 898 of the family's 1533-position model. The record is from RNAcentral.